UGACGCAACGUCAGAUAUUGCUACCAUUUAGUGUAACAGAAAAAUGACGUUAAAUUGGAAACUCGCUUUAUCUAAUUCUUCCUGCUUUCCUUUUUGGGUAAAUGCAAAGUAUAACACACAAGUACAAAUGCCGUGAGAAUCCAAUCCAAUAUGAUUAUAUAUAUAUAUAUAUAUAUAUAUAAGGAUAUUCAAUUUUACUGCUAGUAAUUAUGUGUUUUUGGAGGAAUAUUGCUGCAUUAUAUAUUCAACCCGAG
RNAcentral lists this long non-coding RNA (254 nucleotides) under Mytilus galloprovincialis (Mediterranean mussel). The record is from RNAcentral. Lineage: Eukaryota; Metazoa; Mollusca; Bivalvia; Mytilida; Mytilidae.